Molecule: non-coding RNA, 140 nt
Filed under: Sinomonas sp.
Lineage: Bacteria; Bacillati; Actinomycetota; Actinomycetes; Micrococcales; Micrococcaceae
Also listed under: 1 other name
Description: TPP sequence
Rfam family: TPP riboswitch aptamer (THI element)
About the family: Vitamin B(1) in its active form thiamin pyrophosphate (TPP) is an essential coenzyme that is synthesised by coupling of pyrimidine and thiazole moieties in bacteria.
Source: RNAcentral
UACACACGACAGGGGAGCGUCGCCCCGACGCACGGCACAGGGCCGGGCGGCAAGGCGAAGGACGCUGAGAGUGCGGGAUACCGCAGACCCUCGAACCUGCUCCGGCUAGUACCGGCGAAGGGAGUCGAGCAUCUCAAGGC